AAGUCGUAACAAGGUUUCCGUAGGUGAACCUGCGGAAGGAUCAUUAAAUAAUCAAUAAUUUUGGCUUGUCCAUUAUUAUCUAUUUACUGUGAACUGUAUUAUUACUUGACGCUUGAGGGAUGCUCCACUGCUAUAAGGAUAGGUGGUGGGGAUGUUAACCGAGUCAUAGUCAAGCUUAGGCUUGGUAUCCUAUUAUUAUUUACCAAAAGAAUUCAGAAUUAAUAUUGUAACAUAGACCUAAAAAAUCUAUAAAACAACUUUUAACAACGGAUCUCUUGGUUCUC
Molecule: unclassified non-coding RNA, 284 nt
Filed under: Mucor circinelloides
Lineage: Eukaryota; Fungi; Mucoromycota; Mucoromycetes; Mucorales; Mucoraceae
Description: partial internal transcribed spacer region
Rfam family: Eukaryotic small subunit ribosomal RNA (bases 1-46)
Source: RNAcentral